UAGGGAUUGCAGCGGAAAACCCACAGCCUCGCGUAGGCCUAUGUGUGCGGGCAAGGCGAGGAUUUGUAGCGUAAAGCCCGGGCCGCA
RNAcentral lists this unclassified non-coding RNA (87 nucleotides) under Mucilaginibacter gossypiicola. Its description in RNAcentral is "Flavo-1 RNA". The record is from RNAcentral. Lineage: Bacteria; Pseudomonadati; Bacteroidota; Sphingobacteriia; Sphingobacteriales; Sphingobacteriaceae.